GGAGUUCCGCCAGAUUCUUUGAAACCGAAUCAAUGAAAUCAAUAACUAGUUCUGGUUCUCUCAGCCAGUAACAGCCCAGCAGAAAGUUGAUGCACGAUUCCUUGAUAUCUGUCUCGAAAAACAACUUUAUUGCUUCCCGGAAUAUGGUGAGCUCACUUUUGAUUCGAGUCAAACCAGGUAAACGAGAAUGAAUCAAGUAUUCGCUGCAAGCAAAUACAAGAUCUGGCAUUCUUCUUUUAAUCAGAUUUUGAAUUCUGAAAGAAGUAACAUCCUUCUCCUCCACGUCUUGUUCCAAACAGGUUUCAUGGUUCCUCCUCCUCCUACACAUUCUCAG
RNAcentral lists this long non-coding RNA (334 nucleotides) under Coffea arabica (coffee). Its description in RNAcentral is "long non-coding RNA (CARA_LNC004984)". The record is from RNAcentral. Lineage: Eukaryota; Viridiplantae; Streptophyta; Magnoliopsida; Gentianales; Rubiaceae.